This 329-nucleotide unclassified non-coding RNA is filed under the name Paracidovorax konjaci. RNAcentral's name for it is "Acidovorax konjaci Long range pseudoknot". Lineage: Bacteria; Pseudomonadati; Pseudomonadota; Betaproteobacteria; Burkholderiales; Comamonadaceae. The record is from RNAcentral.
ACGGACGAUGGUGACUACAACAUCAAGAUGCGGAACAUCCGCCGUUUCCUGGCAGAAGGUGACAAGUGCAAAAUCACCCUGCGUUUCCGCGGGCGUGAAAUUACCCAUCAGGAACUCGGUCUUGCCCUGCUCAAUCGCAUCCGAGACGAUUUGGGUGACUCUAUCUUGAUCGAGCAGUUUCCAAAGCUUGAAGGUCGGCAAAUGAUCAUGAUGAUCGCCCCUGGUCGAAAAAAGCCUGGGGUCAAGGCUGUGGCAGAAGGUACUGCACCUUCCGCUUGAAAACGCCGCAUCGUCAAAAGAUGUUUUUCGAGGUGCAGAUAUAAAUGCAC